This 63-nucleotide transfer RNA is filed under the name Escherichia coli. RNAcentral's name for it is "tRNA-Glu". It matches the Rfam family "tRNA", at positions 5 to 66 of the family's 71-position model. From Rfam's summary of the family: Transfer RNA (tRNA) molecules are approximately 80 nucleotides in length. Their secondary structure includes four short double-helical elements and three loops (D, anti-codon, and T loops). Further hydrogen bonds mediate the characteristic L-shaped molecular structure. tRNAs have two regions of fundamental functional importance: the anti-codon, which is responsible for specific mRNA codon recognition, and the 3' end, to which the tRNAs corresponding amino acid is attached (by aminoacyl-tRNA synthetases). tRNAs cope with the degeneracy of the genetic code in two manners: having more than one tRNA (with a specific anti-codon) for a particular amino acid; and 'wobble' base-pairing, i.e. permitting non-standard base-pairing at the 3rd anti-codon position. RNAcentral also lists the same sequence under 2 other names. The record is from RNAcentral. Lineage: Bacteria; Pseudomonadati; Pseudomonadota; Gammaproteobacteria; Enterobacterales; Enterobacteriaceae.
CCUUGGUCAAGCGGUUAAGACACCGCCCUUUCACGGCGGUAACACGGGUUCGAGUCCCGUAGG